GCGUGAGUGAUGAAGGCCUUAGGGUUGUAAAGCUCUUUUACUAGGGAUGAUAAUGACAGUGCCUAGAGAAUAAGCUCCGGCUAACUCCGUGCCAGCAGCCGCGGUAAUACGGAGGGAGCUAGCGUUGUUCGGAAUUACUGGGCGUAAAGCGCGCGUAGGCGGCUUUUUAAGUCAGAGGUGAAAUCCCAGGGCUCAACCCUGGAACUGCCUUUGAAACUGGAAAGCUAGAAUAUUGGAGAGGUAAGUGGAAUUCCGAGUGUAGAGGUGAAAUUCGU
This 275-nucleotide ribosomal RNA is filed under the name uncultured bacterium. RNAcentral's name for it is "partial 16S ribosomal RNA". It matches the Rfam family "Bacterial small subunit ribosomal RNA", at positions 399 to 691 of the family's 1533-position model. The record is from RNAcentral.